GCACAGACAGCUCGGGAAUUUAUGCCGGUGGCGGAGGCCUGGGCGCGCGCACGCGGCGCGUCCCCGGCAGCCGGGCUCGGGCUUGGCGGCCCUAGCAGAGGCAUCGCCACCCGGGGCCGGGCCGUCCUACGGCUGGCGAGGCUCUGCAGCGACCCGGGCUUCCUCCUCCACCCCACCGCCUGCACGGACUGCCCUUCCGGGCGGCUCCCAGGAGCGCCAAGACCUGCAGUGGUCGUGGCGCAGGUGGCCUUGGCAAGAGCCGGUCUCCCGGAGAGGGACCCUCCCAAGUGACCGUCCAGGGGCACCAAGGGCCAUUUGGCUGAUGAGAACCGCUCCCAGGCAGCGGCCUUGGGGCCUCGGGAGCCCCCUCCCCCAUCCUUCCCUUCCAGAACCCGCUUUUCCAGCUCGGCAGCAGCGUCAGGUUUCUGGCGUGUGGAUUGUUUUCCACCCCUGGGGCUUGGGUGGGAAGAGCGAAGACAGGAAAGCGGUUGCCCACGUCGUGUGUUCUGCCGUUCCCGCACCGCCUCCUCCAGAGGCGCCCCGGGGACCCUCCUAGCUGAAACAAACACAGAAACCCGGCCGUCUUAACAAAAAAGGCGCAGAUGCUGGGGCGCUUAGCAAGCCGGGCCUUUUGGACAAACAUGAGGGAGAGGCCAUGAACAGUACUGCUAUUUGCUGGAGCUCUUGGUGAGCAGUAAAUAGCACGCAAGUCUCAAGACCCAGAGAAGGGCGUGGCUUCGUCCCAGUGUCGAGCAAACUGGUGGCAGAGUUGGAAGACCCAUCCCAGACGUAUCUCUGCCGGAUGAGGUCGGGGGGGGGGGGGGGGGGGGGGGGGGGGGGUCCGGCAGAGUAUCCCUCACUGAGCUGGGAUGCAGAAAGAAAACACCCGUCCCAGGCCUCUCAGAGGAGCCAGAGAAAUAAACAAGCAAAAUACGGUGUGCUUCGAGCUGGGAAGAGGCGGGAGCCCGGGAGACAUGCCAGGGGAGGCCAGAGAAGGUGCUCCCUGCAAAGGCAGGGCUGUGGGAGGACAGGGCAGGCGCAGUUGGCUGCGGACCCCAGGAGCCCCACGUUCCCAGGCUCCGCAGACACCCAGGUUGCAGAGAGUCUGCGACACCACCAAAGUGGAGGCGCUUCUCUGAAGGAUGGAAAAAUCGAUGCCCACGGAAGAGCGGGAGCAGCGCUGGGGAGGAGACCAAGGGCAGCGGGGGAGUCAGGCGCCUGGGGUCCCGAGGCUGCGGCGCUGGCCGUUCCCCACCGUUCAGAACAAAGUCAGAGGCGGGUGUGGUCAGCACAGGCCUGGCCGUGUGGGUUUGUUUUCUCUUAUUUUGUUCAGAUUUCCGAAGCUCUCUAGGUUCGUGUAGAAAAUCAAGAUGAGUGAGUCCACCCUCGGAGGUAUCCUCCCUGCUCACGUGCAUAGUAAAUCCUUCUGGCCUUUUUCCUCUGCACGCUGAAUGUGCUUUUCAUUUUUGCAAAAAUAGGACGUGCUUGACUGCUUUUUUUUUUCUUC
RNAcentral lists this long non-coding RNA (1507 nucleotides) under Sus scrofa (pig). Its description in RNAcentral is "lncRNA (ENSSSCG00060019705.1)". Lineage: Eukaryota; Metazoa; Chordata; Mammalia; Artiodactyla; Suidae. The record is from RNAcentral.